This is a long non-coding RNA of Hippocampus comes (tiger tail seahorse), 249 nucleotides long. RefSeq lists it as uncharacterized. The record is from RefSeq and is a predicted model, not a curated record. The transcript is spliced from 3 exons. NCBI's taxonomy places the organism in Eukaryota, Metazoa, Chordata, Actinopteri, Syngnathiformes, Syngnathidae.
AACAGACAAUUACAGAGUUAAAUGGUAAAAACAUCCUGCUGGAGACGAUGCUCGAAGACGCCAAUAGACAAGUGAAAUUUUAUGAGAGCAAGGAGAAAGGAGUCACUGAAGAAAGAGAUGCCCUACUUGCCACAGUGAACAAGCUGCAGGAGGCUUUUCAGGAGCAGUGCAACCUCAGAGUCGAGAAUGAGACGCUGAAGAGCAACAUGACAAUCUUGCAGCAACAGAGUAUCAGAGCAGCAGAGGUAA